RNAcentral lists this ribosomal RNA (418 nucleotides) under uncultured bacterium. RNAcentral's name for it is "bacterial SSU rRNA". It matches the Rfam family "Bacterial small subunit ribosomal RNA", at positions 362 to 777 of the family's 1533-position model. The record is from RNAcentral.
UAUUGGGCAAUGGACGAAAGUCUGACCCAGCCAUGCCGCGUGCAGGAUGACGGCCCUCUGGGUUGUAAACUGCUUUUAUUAGGGAAGAAACCCUUCUACGUGUAGAAGGCUGACGGUACCUAAAGAAUAAGGAUCGGCUAACUCCGUGCCAGCAGCCGCGGUAUUACGGAGGAUCCAAGCGUUGUCCGGAUUUAUUGGGUUUAAAGGGUGCGUAGGCGGACUUUUAAGUCAGGGGUGAAAGCCGGUAGCUUAACUAUCGAAUUGCCUUUGAAACUGAGAGUCUUGAGUUUUGUUGAGGUAGGCGGAAUGUAUCAUGUAGCGGUGAAAUGCAUAGAUAUGAUACAGAACACCAAUUGCGAAGGCAGCUUACUAAGCAAACACUGACGCUGAGGCACGAAAGCGUGGGGAUCAAACAGGA